This 406-nucleotide ribosomal RNA is filed under the name uncultured bacterium. RNAcentral describes it as "bacterial SSU rRNA". It matches the Rfam family "Bacterial small subunit ribosomal RNA", at positions 354 to 777 of the family's 1533-position model. The record is from RNAcentral.
GUGGGGAAUAUUGCACAAUGGGGGAAACCCUGAUGCAGCGACGCCGCGUGAGCGAAGAAGUAUUUCGGUAUGUAAAGCUCUAUCAGCAGGGAAGAUAAUGACGGUACCUGACUAAGAAGCCCCGGCUAACUACGUGCCAGCAGCCGCGGUAAUACGUAGGGGGCAAGCGUUAUCCGGAUUUACUGGGUGUAAAGGGAGCGUAGACGGCAAGGCAAGUCUGAUGUGAAAACCCAGGGCUUAACCCUGGGACUGCAUUGGAAACUGUCUGGCUCGAGUGCCGGAGAGGUAAGCGGAAUUCCUAGUGUAGCGGUGAAAUGCGUAGAUAUUAGGAAGAACACCAGUGGCGAAGGCGGCUUACUGGACGGUAACUGACGUUGAGGCUCGAAAGCGUGGGGAGCAAACAGGA